AGCGAACGCUGGCGGCAGGCCCAACACAUGCAAGUCGAACGGACCCUUCGGGGGUAGUGGCGGACGGGUGAGUAACACGUGGGAACGUGCCUUUAGGUUCGGAAUAGCUCCUGGAAACGGGUGGUAAUGCCGAAUGUGCCCUUCGGGGGAAAGAUUUAUCGCCUUUAGAGCGGCCCGCGUCUGAUUAGCUAGUUGGUGAGGUAAUGGCUCACCAAGGCGACGAUUAGUAGCUGGUCUGAGAGGAUGACCAGCCACAUUGGGACUGAGACACGGCCCAAACUCCUACGGGAGGCAGCAGUGGGGAAUCUUGCGCAAUGGGCGAAAGCCUGACGCAGCCAUGCCGCGUGGAUGAUGGAGGUCUUAGGAUUGUAAAAUCCUUUCACCGGUGAAGAUAAUGACUGUAGCCGGAGAAGAAGCCCCGGCUAACUUCGUGCCAGCCGCCGCCGUAA
This 449-nucleotide ribosomal RNA is filed under the name uncultured bacterium. Its description in RNAcentral is "partial 16S ribosomal RNA". It matches the Rfam family "Bacterial small subunit ribosomal RNA", at positions 29 to 523 of the family's 1533-position model. The record is from RNAcentral.